Molecule: ribosomal RNA, 253 nt
Filed under: uncultured bacterium
Lineage: Bacteria
Description: partial 16S ribosomal RNA
Rfam family: Bacterial small subunit ribosomal RNA
Source: RNAcentral
UACAGAGGGUGCGAGCGUUAAUCGGAAUUACUGGGCGUAAAGCGCGCGUAGGCGGCUUUGCAAGUCGGGUGUGAAAUCCCCAGGCUUAACCUGGGAACUGCAUUCGAGACUGCAGUGCUAGAGUAUGGGAGAGGGAAGUGGAAUUUCAGGUGUAGCGGUGAAAUGCGUAGAUAUCUGAAGGAACAUCAGUGGCGAAAGCGACUUCCUGGACCAAUACUGACGCUCAUGUGCGAAAGCGUGGGGAGCAAACAGG